RNAcentral lists this ribosomal RNA (306 nucleotides) under Triticum aestivum (bread wheat). RNAcentral describes it as "partial small subunit ribosomal RNA". The record is from RNAcentral. Lineage: Eukaryota; Viridiplantae; Streptophyta; Magnoliopsida; Poales; Poaceae.
AUGGUUGUGCUCGCCAACAAAGUAGAUGACUUGCCAUCUGCCAUCUAUUACCUUCACAAUCAUCUUAGCUUUGGAACCACUUUGCACAAUUUUAUCUCUUUUUCGUUUCUUGCUCCUCUUUUUGCCUUUACUAUCAUCAUCAAGAAAGACAAUAGCCUCAUCUUCAUUAUCAUCUUUUGCUUGCUCAACAAUGUCAUCUUGCACAGGAAUCUUUUCUGCCCCUCCGUCAUCGACAUCAGGCUUUCAAAACUUGUUGCAAACAAAUUGUUGUUUUAUCAACUCCCCGGUUUUCAUAUCCUUCCUUAA